Long non-coding RNA from Juglans microcarpa x Juglans regia, 508 nucleotides. RefSeq lists it as uncharacterized. The transcript has 2 exons. The record is from RefSeq and is a predicted model, not a curated record. Lineage: Eukaryota; Viridiplantae; Streptophyta; Magnoliopsida; Fagales; Juglandaceae.
AGGGAAACGCUUUAAUUCCAACUUGGAAGUUUAGUGAGCGUGUAUGGGUGCCGGAUAGUAAGCUUAAAGUGUAAUGAAUAUUAAUAUGUUUAUCCCAUUUCAUUCAAUAGGAGUUUAUUUUCAAGAUUCAAGGAAUCUUCUUGUAAAGCAACGAGGUAUGAAUGAUGAGGCUGUGGAGCUAGGCACUACUGAGGAGGGAGGGGCCGAUGCUUAGAGUUCCCUGUCGGUUCGGUUUUGAUGAUAAUGGUUAUGUUUUUAUGCCUUUAUGAUGGGUCCCAUGUUGGGACAUUUUGUUGGCUUGACUUUAAGACAAUAUGCCUUUGGGCAUGAUGUAAAUGCUAUGGUGGGGUGUUGGUAAUGGUGUAACUUCUAUGGUGGGGUGACGGUAACCCCACAUAAGAAGGUUAAAUGCCUUUUUGUAUGUGUUGUAGGGACUGAGUUCCCUCUUAUCUAGAACUAGUUAUGUUUGAUGAAUGGAUGAUGGACUCUGAGAGUCCUUUAAUUAGAA